This 403-nucleotide RNase P RNA is filed under the name Tamaricihabitans halophyticus. RNAcentral describes it as "Bacterial RNase P class A". It matches the Rfam family "Bacterial RNase P class A". From Rfam's summary of the family: Ribonuclease P (RNase P) is a ubiquitous endoribonuclease, found in archaea, bacteria and eukarya as well as chloroplasts and mitochondria. Its best characterised activity is the generation of mature 5'-ends of tRNAs by cleaving the 5'-leader elements of precursor-tRNAs. The record is from Rfam by way of RNAcentral. Lineage: Bacteria; Bacillati; Actinomycetota; Actinomycetes; Pseudonocardiales; Pseudonocardiaceae.
CGAGUCGGCAGGGCGGCCGCGGCGGCGGAGUGAUCCUCCCCGUCGAGGAAAGUCCGGACUCCGUAGGGCAGGGUGGUUGCUAACGGCAACCCGGGGUAACUCGCGGGAAAGUGCCACAGAAAACAGACCGCCCGCCGAGCACGCGUGUUCGGCGGGUAAGGGUGAAACGGUGGUGUAAGAGACCACCAGCAUCCCGGGUGACCGGGAUGGCUCGGUAAACCCCACCCGGAGCAAGGCCAAAAGGAAGUACAACUUCUGCGCGAGCGGUUGAGGGCGGCCCGUCCGAUGCUCGCGGGUAGGCCGCUGGAGCCUGCCGGCAACGGUAGGCCUAGAUGGAUGGCCGUCCCCCGGGCGACCGCUGGUCGAUCGGGGACAGGAUCCGGCUUAUAUGCCGGCUCGUCCG